This 1438-nucleotide ribosomal RNA is filed under the name Acinetobacter baumannii 25493_5. RNAcentral describes it as "bacterial LSU rRNA". It matches the Rfam family "Bacterial large subunit ribosomal RNA", at positions 1512 to 2925 of the family's 2925-position model. Lineage: Bacteria; Pseudomonadati; Pseudomonadota; Gammaproteobacteria; Moraxellales; Moraxellaceae. The record is from RNAcentral.
GAAAGGAUGUAGGCAUGUAUCUUAGGCAAAUCCGGGGUACUCUAUGCUGAGAUCUGAUAGCAAGCUGUACUUGUACAGCGAAGUGGUUGAUGCCAUGCUUCCAGGAAAAGUCUCUAAGCUUCAGUUACACAGGAAUCGUACCCGAAACCGACACAGGUGGUCAGGUCGAGUAGACCAAGGCGCUUGAGAGAACUCUGCUGAAGGAACUAGGCAAAAUGGUACCGUAACUUCGGGAGAAGGUACGCUGUUGUUGGUGAUGGAACUCGCUUCCUGAGCUGACGACAGCCGCAGAAACCAGGCCGCUGCAACUGUUUAUUAAAAACAUAGCACUCUGCAAACACGAAAGUGGACGUAUAGGGUGUGAUGCCUGCCCGGUGCUGGAAGGUUAAUUGAUGGGGUUAGCGUAAGCGAAGCUCUUGAUCGAAGCCCCAGUAAACGGCGGCCGUAACUAUAACGGUCCUAAGGUAGCGAAAUUCCUUGUCGGGUAAGUUCCGACCUGCACGAAUGGCAUAAUGAUGGCGGCGCUGUCUCCAGCAGAGGCUCAGUGAAAUCGAAAUCGCUGUGAAGAUGCAGUGUACCCGCGGCUAGACGGAAAGACCCCGUGAACCUUUACUGCAGCUUGACACUGAACUUUGACCUUACUUGUGUAGGAUAGGUGGGAGGCUUUGAAGCUGGAACGCUAGUUCCAGUGGAGCCGUCCUUGAAAUACCACCCUGGUAAUGUUGAGGUUCUAACUCUGUCCCGUGAUCCGGGACGAGGACCGUGUCUGGUGGGUAGUUUGACUGGGGCGGUCUCCUCCUAAAGAGUAACGGAGGAGUACGAAGGUGCGCUCAGCGUGGUCGGAAAUCACGCGUAGAGUAUAAAGGCAAAAGCGCGCUUAACUGCGAGACCCACAAGUCGAGCAGGUACGAAAGUAGGUCUUAGUGAUCCGGUGGUUCUGUAUGGAAGGGCCAUCGCUCAACGGAUAAAAGGUACUCUGGGGAUAACAGGCUGAUACCGCCCAAGAGUUCAUAUCGACGGCGGUGUUUGGCACCUCGAUGUCGGCUCAUCUCAUCCUGGGGCUGAAGCAGGUCCCAAGGGUAUGGCUGUUCGCCAUUUAAAGAGGUACGCGAGCUGGGUUUAGAACGUCGUGAGACAGUUCGGUCCCUAUCUACCGUGGGCGCUGGAAAUUUGAGAGGAUCUGCUCCUAGUACGAGAGGACCAGAGUGGACGAACCUCUGGUGUACCGGUUGUGACGCCAGUCGCAUCGCCGGGUAGCUAUGUUCGGAAGGGAUAACCGCUGAAAGCAUCUAAGCGGGAAGCCUACCUCAAGAUAAGAUUUCCCUAGGACUUUAUGUCCUCUAAAGAGCCGUUCGAGACUAGGACGUUGAUAGGUUGGAUGUGGAAGCAUAGUGAUAUGUGAAGCUGACCAAUACUAAUUGCUCGUGAGGCUUGACUA